Molecule: ribosomal RNA, 497 nt
Filed under: uncultured bacterium
Lineage: Bacteria
Description: partial 16S ribosomal RNA
Rfam family: Bacterial small subunit ribosomal RNA
Source: RNAcentral
GAUGAACGCUGGCGGCGUGCCUAAUACAUGCAAGUCGAGCGAACGGACGAGAAGCUUGCUUUUCUGAUGUUAGCGGCGGACGGGUGAGUAACACGUGGAUAACCUACCUAUAAGACUGGGAUAACUUCGGGAAACCGGAGCUAAUACCGGAUAAUAUUUUGAACCGCAUGGUUCAAAAGUGAAAGACGGUCUUGCUGUCACUUAUAGAUGGAUCCGCGCUGCAUUAGCCAGUUGGUAAGGUAACGGCUUACCAAGGCAACGAUGCAUAGCCGACCUGAGAGGGUGAUCGGCCACACUGGAACUGAGACACGGCCCAGACUCCCACGGGAGGCAGCAGUAGGGAAUCUUCCGCAAUGGGCGAAAGCCUGACGGAGCAACGCCGCGUGAGUGAUGAAGGUCUUCGGAUCGUAAAACUCUGUUAUUAGGGAAGAACAUAUGUGUAAGUAACUGUGCACAUCUUGACGGUACCUAAUCAGAAAGCCACGGCUAACUACGUG